AGAAAUGCUAUGACAAGGAGGAGUAUAUAAUCUUCAGAAGCAAAGAGAGAAGGCGGACGGUGUAAGCCUUCAUGAAGGGAUUGUAGAAGUAGCCUUUGAGCAGCGGACCGAACGGGAAUUUCUCAAGUAGACUUCGACGUAGGCCCUACGUUACAGGGGAAUAGUAUCGAACAUUUCUAUGGUUCUGUACUUGCGUGAGAGCAGAGAAGCAGCUUCUCUGAAGACAGGUGGUAACACGGAUUUUAUAUUCGCCCUGAAC
Molecule: non-coding RNA, 259 nt
Filed under: Allocoprococcus comes
Lineage: Bacteria; Bacillati; Bacillota; Clostridia; Lachnospirales; Lachnospiraceae
Description: Coprococcus comes T-box sequence
Rfam family: T-box leader
About the family: Uncharged tRNA acts as the effector for transcription antitermination of genes in the T-box leader family. T-boxes are found upstream of many aminoacyl-tRNA synthetase genes and some amino acid biosynthetic genes usually in Gram-positive bacteria. The anticodon of a specific tRNA base pairs to a specifier sequence within the T-box motif, and the NCCA acceptor tail of the tRNA base pairs to a conserved bulge in the T-box antiterminator hairpin.
Source: RNAcentral